This 131-nucleotide ribosomal RNA is filed under the name uncultured bacterium. RNAcentral describes it as "partial 16S ribosomal RNA". It matches the Rfam family "Bacterial small subunit ribosomal RNA", at positions 7 to 171 of the family's 1533-position model. The record is from RNAcentral.
GAGAGUUUGAUCCUGGCUCAGCCACCAUGCAAGUCGAACGAAAGCUUCGGGCUUAGUGGCGCACGGGUGCGUAACGCGUGGGAAUCUGCCUCUUGCUUCGGAAUAACAGUUAGGAAUGACUGCUAAUACCG